RNAcentral lists this ribosomal RNA (256 nucleotides) under uncultured bacterium. RNAcentral describes it as "partial 16S ribosomal RNA". It matches the Rfam family "Bacterial small subunit ribosomal RNA", at positions 524 to 776 of the family's 1533-position model. The record is from RNAcentral.
UACGUAGGGUGCAAGCGUUGUCCGGAAUCACUGGGCGUAAAGGGCGCGUAGGCGGCCUGGUAAGUAGGGGGGUGAAAAUCCUGCGGCUUAACCGCAGGGCUGCCUUCUAAACUGUCAGGCUUGAGCACGGUAGAGGCAGAUGGAAUUCCCGGUGUAGCGGUGGGAUGCGUAGAGAUCGGGAAGAACAUCAGUGGCGAAGGCGGUCUGCUGGGCCGUUGCUGACGCUGAGGCGCGACAGCGUGGGGGAGCAAACAGG